ACGAACGCUGGCGGCGUGCUUAACCCCUGCAAGUCGAACGGUGAAGCGCCUUCCUUUUUGGUGGGUGUGGAUGAGUGGCGAACGGGUGAGUAACACGUGAGUAACCUGCCCCCUUCUUCUGGAUAACCGCAUGAAAGUGUGGCUAAUACGGGAUAUUCUGGGUCUGUCGCAUGAUGGGUCUGGGAAAGAUAUUGUUUCGGUGGGGGAUGGGCUCGCGGCCUAUCAGCUUGUUGGUGGGGUGAUGGCCUACCAAGGCGGUGACGGGUAGCCGGCCUGAGAGGGUGGACGGUCACACUGGGACGGAGACACGGCCCAGACUCCUACGGGAGGCAGCAGUGGGGAAUAUUGCACAAUGGGCGCAAGCCUGAUGCAGCGACGCCGCGUGAGGGAUGGAGGCCUUCGGGUUGUGAACCUCUUUCGCCAGUGAAGCAGGCCUGCCUCGUUUGUGGGUGGGUUGACGGUAGCUGGAUAAGAAGCGCCGGCUAACUACGUG
Molecule: ribosomal RNA, 493 nt
Filed under: uncultured bacterium
Lineage: Bacteria
Description: partial 16S ribosomal RNA
Rfam family: Bacterial small subunit ribosomal RNA
Source: RNAcentral